Regulatory RNA element from Clostridium acidisoli DSM 12555, 110 nucleotides. It matches the Rfam family "Ribosomal protein L20 leader". Rfam says of the family: This family is a putative r-protein leader autoregulatory structure found in B. subtilis and other low-GC Gram-positive bacteria. It is located in the 5' untranslated regions of mRNAs encoding initiation factor 3 followed by ribosomal proteins L35 and L20 (infC-rpmI-rplT). NCBI's taxonomy places the organism in Bacteria, Bacillati, Bacillota, Clostridia, Eubacteriales, Clostridiaceae. The record is from Rfam.
UACGUCAAGAAGAAACAUGCCGUUUCUCACCUUUCAGCCUUUUGCUAGUUGGGUUAGAUUUUAAUUUUGUUUAUUAUUAAGAGCGGCAUUUGUCGCUCUUUUAUUGUGCA